AGGAAUAUUGGUCAAUGGACGAGAGUCUGAACCAGCCAAGUAGCGUGCAGGAAGACGGCCCUAUGGGUUGUAAACUGCUUUUAUAAGGGAAUAAAGUUAGUCUCGUGAGACUUUUUGUAUGUACCGUAUGAAUAAGCAUCGGCUAACUCCGUGCCAGCAGCCGCGGUAAUACGGAGGAUGCGAGCGUUAUCCGGAUUUAUUGGGCUUAAAGGGAGCGCAGACGGGAGAUUAAGUCAGUUGUGAAAGUUUGCGGCUCAACCGUAAAAUUGCAGUUGAUACUGGUUUCCUUGAGUGCAGUUGAGGCAGGCGGAAUUCGUGGUGUAGCGGUGAAAUGCUUAGAUAUCACGAAGAACCCCGAUUGCGAAGGCAGCUUGCUAAACUGUAACUGACGUUCAUGCUCGAAAGUGUGGGUAUCAAACAGGAUUAGAUACCCUGGUAGUCCACACGGUAAACGAUGGAUACUCGCUGUUGGCGAUAUACUGUCAGCGGCCAAGCGAAAGCAUUAAGUAUCCCACCUGGGGAGUACGCCGGCAACGGUGAAACUCAAAGGAAUUGACGGGGGCCCGCACAAGCGGAGGAACAUGUGGUUUAAUUCGAUGAUACGCGAGGAACCUUACCCGGGCUUAAAUUGCAGACGAAUUACGAGGAAACUUGUAAGCCGCAAGGCGUCUGUGAAGGUGCUGCAUGGUUGUCGUCAGCUCGUGCCGUGAGGUGUCGGCUUAAGUGCCAUAACGAGCGCAACCCUCGUGGUCAGUUACUAACAGGUUAAGCUGAGGACUCUGGCCAGACUGCCAUCGUAAGAUGUGAGGAAGGUGGGGAUGACGUCAAAUCAGCACGGCCCUUACGUCCGGGGCUACACACGUGUUACAAUGGGAGGUACAGAAGGCAGCUACCCGGCGACGGGAUGCCAAUCCCCAAAACCUCUCUCAGUUCGGACUGGAGUCUGCAACCCGACUCCACGAAGCUGGAUUCGCUAGUAAUCGCGCAUCAGCCACGGCGCGGUGAAUACGUUCCCG
RNAcentral lists this ribosomal RNA (1016 nucleotides) under uncultured bacterium. RNAcentral's name for it is "bacterial SSU rRNA". It matches the Rfam family "Bacterial small subunit ribosomal RNA", at positions 357 to 1376 of the family's 1533-position model. The record is from RNAcentral.